AUUGUAUUGUAUUGUAAUAUCAAAAGUGGUACACCUGGACAAAUGUAAUUAAAACUGGAAUGUUAUUUGUUGGUUGAUAAGAUCAAAUUAUCAACCAACAUUGUACUAUGACAUUUAAGAUCAAGAAGAACACAGAUGUUCCCCUGAAGUGUUAGGUAUAUCUCCCUUUAGUUAGGCACCUAUCUAAAGGGAGAUACACCUAACUAAAGGGAGAUAUGACUAAGUAAAGGGAGAUAUGCCUAAGUAAAGAGAGAUACCCCUAACUAAAUGGAGAUACUCCUAACUAAAGAGAGAUACCCCUAACUAAUGUUAGGCAUAUCUCUCUUUAGUUAAGUGUAUCUCCCUAUAGUUAGACGUAUUUCUCUUUAGUUAGGGGUAUCUCCCUUUAGUUAGGCAUAUCUCCCUUUAGUUAGGGGUAUCUCCCUUUAGUUAGGGGUAUCUCCCUUUAGUUAGGGGUAUCUCCCUUUAGUUAUUAGUAUAUCCCUUUAGUUAGAGGUAUCUCCCUUUAGUUAGGGGUAUCUCCCUUUAGUUAUUAUUAUAUCCCUUUAGUUAGAGGUAUCUCCCUUUAGUUAGGAGUAUCUCCCUUUAGUUAGGCAUAUCUCCCUUUAGUUAGGGGUAUCUCCCUUUAGUUAGGAGUAUCUCCCUUUAGUUAGGCAUAUCUCCCUUUAGUUAGGCGUACCCCUCUUUAGUUAGAGGUAUCUCCCUUUAUUAAACAAUGUGCUUUUCAAAUAGAGGUUUUUCCUGGCUGUCCUAAACCAAACUCACUAGCAAUAUGCUUAGUUAUCAGUCACAUCAGCAUCAGAUAACUAGAUUUACUGCAAUAACCACAUGCAACUAAUAUAGUACUUUCACUAUAAUAGUCAUUGUGACAGCUAUUAUUAAACUGCAAAAAUGAUAUGUAUGCAACUGAAAAUAUAUUGAAUAUGGACAAAGUGAUCUCACAUUUCCUAUUAUGAGAUUAUUAUCAAUGCAAUGUAAUAUUAUUCAGCUUGCUUGUAGAUGCUUUUACAUAUGUUCAGCUUCAAAUCUAUUAGCAGGUAAUAUAGCUUCUUUUGAUAGAAAUAAUUGUUUAAAAUUAGAACAAUGAUCUGCCAGUAGAACAAAGACUAUGUUAAGCUUGAACUGAGUAAAAAUGUCUAGAUCUAUUUAAUAAACACACACACACACACACUCACACACACACACACACACA
Ictalurus punctatus (channel catfish) is the source of this 1192-nucleotide long non-coding RNA. The record is from Ensembl. NCBI's taxonomy places the organism in Eukaryota, Metazoa, Chordata, Actinopteri, Siluriformes, Ictaluridae.